UGAAACGAUAACGAUAAGCAUAUGUACAAAUCGAUAAUCGAUAAGUAAUUAUCGAUAAAGGUCAAAAUCGAAUCAAUAAAUCGAAUGCACAUCCCUAGACUGUAGACAUUUGUAAAAUGAGUAAUUACAUAUUUGUGUAGAUUAAUAUAACAUACAAAAUGUACAUAUAUUCCGCUACUAUUUUGAAAGCGGUUAUACAAUAUCAUUUUCCCUAAUCUAUACCCUUUCCUUUACCCUAAGUCUCUUAUCCUAUUAUUUCCUCUACCACAUUUAAUGAAUGAUCACAUUUA
RNAcentral lists this long non-coding RNA (290 nucleotides) under Nicotiana benthamiana. Its description in RNAcentral is "long non-coding RNA (NBEN_LNC007126)". The record is from RNAcentral. Lineage: Eukaryota; Viridiplantae; Streptophyta; Magnoliopsida; Solanales; Solanaceae.